This 462-nucleotide ribosomal RNA is filed under the name uncultured bacterium. RNAcentral's name for it is "partial 16S ribosomal RNA". It matches the Rfam family "Bacterial small subunit ribosomal RNA", at positions 28 to 507 of the family's 1533-position model. The record is from RNAcentral.
GACGAACGCUGGCGGCGUGCUUAACACAUGCAAGUCGAACGGAAAGGCCCUUCGGGGUACUCGAGUGGCGAACGGGUGAGUAACACGUGGGUGAUCUGCCCUGCACUUUGGGAUAAGCCUGGGAAACUGGGUCUAAUACCGAAUAGGACCACGCGCUUCAUGGUGUGUGGUGGCAAGCUUUUGCGGUGUGGGAUGGGCGCGCGGCCUAUCAGCUUGUUGGUGGGGUAAUGGCCUACCAAGGCGACGACGGGUAGCCGGCCUGAGAGGGUGACCGGCCACACUGGGACUGAGAUACGGCCCAGACUCCUACGGGAGGCAGCAGUGGGGAAUAUUGCACAAUGGGCGCAAGCCUGAUGCAGCGACGCCGCGUGAGGGAUGACGGCCUUCGGGUUGUAAACCUCUUUCAAUAGGGACGAAGCGCAAGUGACGGUACCUAUAGAAGAAGCACCGGCCAACUACGUG